This 604-nucleotide ribosomal RNA is filed under the name Metabacillus idriensis. RNAcentral describes it as "bacterial SSU rRNA". It matches the Rfam family "Bacterial small subunit ribosomal RNA", at positions 505 to 1105 of the family's 1533-position model. Lineage: Bacteria; Bacillati; Bacillota; Bacilli; Caryophanales; Bacillaceae. The record is from RNAcentral.
GUGCCAGCAGCCGCGGUAAUACGUAGGUGGCAAGCGUUGUCCGGAAUUAUUGGGCGUAAAGCGCGCGCAGGCGGUUUCUUAAGUCUGAUGUGAAAGCCCCCGGCUCAACCGGGGAGGGUCAUUGGAAACUGGGAAACUUGAGUGCAGAAGAGGAGAGUGGAAUUCCACGUGUAGCGGUGAAAUGCGUAGAGAUGUGGAGGAACACCAGUGGCGAAGGCGACUCUCUGGUCUGUAACUGACGCUGAGGCGCGAAAGCGUGGGGAGCGAACAGGAUUAGAUACCCUGGUAGUCCACGCCGUAAACGAUGAGUGCUAAGUGUUAGAGGGUUUCCGCCCUUUAGUGCUGCAGCUAACGCAUUAAGCACUCCGCCUGGGGAGUACGGUCGCAAGACUGAAACUCAAAGGAAUUGACGGGGGCCCGCACAAGCGGUGGAGCAUGUGGUUUAAUUCGAAGCAACGCGAAGAACCUUACCAGGUCUUGACAUCCUUUGCCACUUCUAGAGAUAGAAGGUUCCCCUUCGGGGGACAAAGUGACAGGUGGUGCAUGGUUGUCGUCAGCUCGUGUCGUGAGAUGUUGGGUUAAGUCCCGCAACGAGCGCAACCCU